GUGCUUCCUCCAAACCACAAGGAGCAGGGCUCUAAGCUAGAGACUCUAUGUGGCUCUUGGAGACAGAACCAAGAUCCUCCAGUAAAAGGGACAAGGAAGAAGAUCCAAUGGAACAAGUAAUAUUUGGUCUGACAACUGCACAGUGUUCACCGGCUGAUGUUUUCCAGGCCUCAAAGGUGGCAGGGCAGACUCGGACAUCUGCAUUUUACAGGAGCACGCCAUGUUCCCCUUCCUCUGGGCCGUGGGCAAGUAAUUCUGCAACAUCUAACUGAACAACAAGUGCUGGUUCGAAAUGGUUACAAGAUAACUGUAUGAGGGAGAGUAAAGCAAAGUGUCAAUGCAA
Molecule: long non-coding RNA, 343 nt
Organism: Suricata suricatta (meerkat)
Lineage: Eukaryota; Metazoa; Chordata; Mammalia; Carnivora; Herpestidae
Exons: 3
Source: RefSeq, a predicted model, not a curated record